This 72-nucleotide transfer RNA is filed under the name Dactylosporangium vinaceum subsp. matsuzakiense. RNAcentral describes it as "Dactylosporangium matsuzakiense tRNA". It matches the Rfam family "tRNA". From Rfam's summary of the family: Transfer RNA (tRNA) molecules are approximately 80 nucleotides in length. Their secondary structure includes four short double-helical elements and three loops (D, anti-codon, and T loops). Further hydrogen bonds mediate the characteristic L-shaped molecular structure. tRNAs have two regions of fundamental functional importance: the anti-codon, which is responsible for specific mRNA codon recognition, and the 3' end, to which the tRNAs corresponding amino acid is attached (by aminoacyl-tRNA synthetases). tRNAs cope with the degeneracy of the genetic code in two manners: having more than one tRNA (with a specific anti-codon) for a particular amino acid; and 'wobble' base-pairing, i.e. permitting non-standard base-pairing at the 3rd anti-codon position. The record is from Rfam by way of RNAcentral. Lineage: Bacteria; Bacillati; Actinomycetota; Actinomycetes; Micromonosporales; Micromonosporaceae.
GGGCUUGUGGCGCAGUGGUAGCGCAUCGGUCUGGCAGACCGAGGGUCAGCGGUUCGAACCCGCUCAGGUCCA